RNAcentral lists this unclassified non-coding RNA (161 nucleotides) under uncultured Auriculariales. RNAcentral describes it as "sequence contains ITS1". The record is from RNAcentral. Lineage: Eukaryota; Fungi; Basidiomycota; Agaricomycetes; Auriculariales.
AAGAUUCGGCCCUCGGGCCUAAACCUCUUCAGCUGUGCGCUUCGGCUGCACGCUGUUGAACCUCAUACACCUGUGAACAUUCCGGUUGUGAUUCACCUCACGUGUCUCACUUCCGCCUUUACAUCAAACUACAAGUCCAGAAUGUAAAAACUAUAAAGUAA